CGGUAAGAGGGAGGCGCCGCGCGGGCUACAAUCCUCCCCCUGCGGUUUUCUGGAGGGUCUAGGAGCUGAGUGUCGUGGCAACGCUAACGCUUUGGUCGUUUCGCCGGACUAUCCCGGGCCCCUGCAGUGGUGAUCAGGCUUGUGCGGGAUCCCUUUUCUUUAUAAGGCUACUUCUCCCCUGGACCAGCCCAGGAAGGGACAGGUGGUGGAGGUCAGUUGUUUUAAGGUGGUUGCAAGACGUCUUGUGGUGUCGAGCUCUCUUAGCCUUUCUCUAUUGGAGGUUUUUUGUUGGCCUGUUAGGUAUAUCAGGAGCCCUCACCUGCCGGGAC
RNAcentral lists this long non-coding RNA (329 nucleotides) under Volvox carteri. Its description in RNAcentral is "long non-coding RNA (VCAR_LNC004175)". The record is from RNAcentral. Lineage: Eukaryota; Viridiplantae; Chlorophyta; Chlorophyceae; Chlamydomonadales; Volvocaceae.